AGGCUCUUUGUAAAGGAAUAGACCGUUAAAUUAAAAGUGAAAGAAGUUACUCUUUACACAGUAAGUUGGUUAAAAGUCGGUUAAUAUUUCACUGGUGGAGUUUCGUGUGGCUAGACUUGUUUCGACACUGGGAACUGGAGCAAUGCUUCGAAAAAAAUACCAGAUAAGGUUUGUUGAGCAAGGCGAAAAAUAGGCCAAAAAAACUAGCUAACGUGUGUUUAGCUACGUCGUCUGAGGCGAAAAAUAUUUAAAAGAAUGACCAGCUAACGUUUUAUUUUAUUUUUUUCAAACGUUAGCUGGUAAAUUUUGAAGCAUAUUUUCAAACGUUAGCUGGUAUUUUUUAAAUCUGAGUAACGUUAGCUAACGUUACAGCUAAAAGUGUGUUCCGUAGUAAAUGGAGGAGGAGGAGGAGGAGGAGGAAGAAGCCCUUCAGAACCACUGCAGAAGAAUGAUUUCUCGUGUCCGAAACAAACGGCACCCCCGGUCCUCCUCCUCCGAGAGGGGGAGACACGCGCAGCACCGAGGAGCCAAUGGGAGGGAGAGGAGGACCGGAGUUGUAGCCGGAGACCACUUCAGAGAUCUCCGGGAAUGUAACGUUGACCUCCCGUUCCCAUACUCCACGUCCUCCCCCAAUCUCAUAUGUCAAGGUCCCGAAGACCUGGCCGCCCCCCCUUUACUCCUCUUAAUGCUGAAGCUCAAAACGUUCAACGAGAAGGUGAAACGGGCUGCAGAGGAGGAGCUCCACGACCCCGCAGUCUGCUGUGUGUGAGCGACUACAGGCUUCUCUGGCCUUGGAAAGUUUUAUCAGGAGGAAGAAGACACAACUGCAGUUCCAAGCCCUGAAGGGCAGACUGAACACACACUUUAACUAUGGAGAGUGUGCACGUUGGGGGAGUUUGGGAGAAAUCUCCCAAAGCCUUUUGAUGCCCACCACUGGAUUUGGGAGGAACAACUUGGUUUGUGCGGGUCACAGCAACCUAGGGUUGCCGUAGCAACAGCUAAGGAACGUAGAGUUACCCUAGCAACAGAUGAAAUGAGGGGUUACCCUGACAAAAACGCUACAGGUACUCAUUUAACGAGCCCUCACUGUGCUUUUCCAGACAGAUAGCUGCAGACCUGAUGGGCACAGUAUUAAUACAACGUAAGGUAUAAUAUUGUGUCGCUCUCAAAAAUAUUCCUAUCUCUAUAUUUUGACACACAGACUAAACCCGCCCAUUUGCCCAAUACAUACUUAUCCAUAUGCGUCCUUGGUUACCCAUCAGCGCAGUUCUAGCUGUAUGUAGUGGUGUGAUCAUAAACACAGCUGUGUUUAUGAUCACACCACUUAAUGUGCAAAAAACAAGUCUAGCCUUUGUUUUUUAGUGUAAAAAUGACCAUGUUAAUAACAAGGUUAGUACAAAACAUCUAUUUAUUUUCUUAUCACUGUAUUAAAGUUAAACACACAACACCACUCAGAGCAGAUGAGUCUGGCCUUUUCACUUGAACAAUGUAAACAUUAAAAGAUUGUGUUUCUUCAAUUAAACCUAUUUGUUUUUUCAUUGGCACAAAAAUAAUACACAACAGACAGCCAUGGAAGCGCACAUGCAUUGCAAAAAAAUUAUAAAGUACAGUACGAUAUCUAAGGCAAAA
Molecule: long non-coding RNA, 1629 nt
Organism: Etheostoma spectabile (orangethroat darter)
Lineage: Eukaryota; Metazoa; Chordata; Actinopteri; Perciformes; Percidae
Exons: 3
Source: RefSeq, a predicted model, not a curated record